GCCGAGGUGGCGGAACUGGUAGACGCGCUGCGUUCAGGGCGCAGUGUCGGCAACGGCAUCAGGGUUCAAAUCCCUGCCUCGGCA
RNAcentral lists this transfer RNA (84 nucleotides) under Chloroflexota bacterium. RNAcentral's name for it is "Chloroflexi bacterium (groundwater metagenome) tRNA-Leu". It matches the Rfam family "tRNA". Rfam says of the family: Transfer RNA (tRNA) molecules are approximately 80 nucleotides in length. Lineage: Bacteria; Bacillati; Chloroflexota. The record is from RNAcentral.